Acomys russatus (golden spiny mouse) is the source of this 120-nucleotide small nucleolar RNA. RefSeq annotates it as small nucleolar RNA SNORA1. NCBI's taxonomy places the organism in Eukaryota, Metazoa, Chordata, Mammalia, Rodentia, Muridae. The transcript has a single exon. The record is from RefSeq and is a predicted model, not a curated record.
UGUCUCAGAACAUAGAAAAUAAAAACUAUGCUACAUGUCAAUGUGGCUAAAUUAAGACACAGGUCAUGCUUCCAUCACAGUAGCUAUAUUACAGUGGUGACAAUGAGACCUGUAACAUUU